UUAACUCAAAUUUGUGUAUGGAGUUGGAAUGUUUGCCUGCGUUUGCCGCUAGGGGCGCUGUUCCCACUGCAUACAAAUUUGGGUUA
Molecule: microRNA precursor, 86 nt
Filed under: Bombyx mori (domestic silkworm)
Lineage: Eukaryota; Metazoa; Arthropoda; Insecta; Lepidoptera; Bombycidae
Description: mir-2807 microRNA precursor family
Rfam family: mir-2807 microRNA precursor family
Source: Rfam by way of RNAcentral